CAAUUUUGCUAAACAUUUAAACAUCAUAACAUUCAGAAAAAAAACAUAAAAUUCCACAUCAAUUCACAAUUCAGAAUAAUGGUCCUAUUACGCAUGACCGCUAGGGCCGGGCAAUGAAGUUAUAUCUACCGCAGUCAUAUACCCUUGAAAGCGUCUCGGCUACGGAAUGUUUGUUGGUCUGUAAGGGUACACUAUAGCUUUUCAAACGCCGACACAAAACCUUCUCUGGAGAUAGUUUCGAAGCGCCACUGAAUGGGCAUUUUACUUGUCUGUAUAGGAAUGCCCCAUCUGAACCGGGAUCGACGUCCAUCACUAGCAGGUGGUCUACAGCAGGGAGCCUGCAUAGGAGUGGAGAGAAGAGGAGAAGAGAGGACAGAAGAGGAGAGAUGAGAUGAAAGGGGAGAGGACAUAGUUUGAAGAGGAGAGGAGAGGAGAGGUGAUGAAAGAGGAGACGGUGGUUUGAACAUGAUUUUGGUUAGUAGAGCCUUCCUGGUUGGAGCUCAAAUGUGCACACAGAGCUAUCAUCGACUAAACACAAACUGUACGACUUGAUCUAGACAGCGUGUUUCUUUGUCUCCGUUUUAUUAUUAUUUUUAUUAUUAGGGGUUCAGCAACGAAGCUGGUGAAACCCUAUUGUAUUUGUUGUCGUUAAUUAUUAUUUUCCUUCUGCUGAUUUAGUGAAAAAUACAAAUUCCUGUGAGAUGGUAAGGGUGC
Molecule: long non-coding RNA, 714 nt
Filed under: Salmo salar (Atlantic salmon)
Lineage: Eukaryota; Metazoa; Chordata; Actinopteri; Salmoniformes; Salmonidae
Description: lncRNA (ENSSSAG00000103071.1)
Source: RNAcentral